Molecule: unclassified non-coding RNA, 317 nt
Filed under: Hevea brasiliensis (rubber tree)
Lineage: Eukaryota; Viridiplantae; Streptophyta; Magnoliopsida; Malpighiales; Euphorbiaceae
Source: RNAcentral
CAAAUGAAGUCUGAUAAAUAAUCGAGGACACUAAGGUCAUGCUCCACUACAAUUACAUAGCUAUUAGGUCUGAGCAAAGAUCUGAUAACUUGGGCAGCUUUAAGCCUCUGUUUGACAUCAAGAUAACUUGAAGGUUCAUCAAACAUAUAUAUCUCUGCAUUCUGUAUUGCAACGACAGCAAUAGCAAAACGCUGUAGCUCUCCACCCGACAAAUCCCCCACAUUACGAUCUAUAACCUGGUUCAGCUCAAGAUCAUCACAAAGUUCUGCUUUCAUCUCUCUCUCAUCUUUUUGGUCAAGCACCUGCCCUACAUUGCC